AUGAUUAAGCCUUGAGUUCUUUCUGCUAAGUGAAAUAAUCAGACUCAAAAAGACAACUACUACAUGAUUCCACUUAACAGAGCUGGAGUGCAUCCCGGGGACUUGGGAGCUCUGGAAAGAGGAGCAGGAAAGGGCCAUGGCCGGAGGAGGCCUGAAAAAGAUCAUCUCUGCCACAGAGAAGAAGCUGGCUCGGAUGCUGCUGGCCCCUAUGGAGACAGGGAGACCCGGGGAGACAACUGUAUUCAUUCAAGGAGGAAUGGGUGGUGAUGCAAACUUGGGUGGAGGCCACAGGGUGCAGAAGACAGGACACAGCAGAGAGAGAUGUAGGACAUGGAAGGGACAGAAAGGAGUGACCACAGGACAUAAAGGGGCAAGGAAAGUGGAAGCAUGAUAACAUCUGCUGGGCAUCCGGCUGAGGGGUUGGGUGCCUAGGGUGCCCUUCCCUAAGGGAGAACCCCAGGAGCAGAUUCAGAGAAAACCGCCCAGCUCACUCCAGCAAGAAUCAGAAAAGGACCGGUUAAAGGAGAGGGUAGGAAGGUCACCAAGCUCCAAGGGCCCUCAUGAAUCCGGCUUGGAGGCCACAGGGCCCAGGGCAAGGACAAACCACAGGCACAGGACAGCUCCGGUCAAGAUCUUCUGGCUACUGCAGGAGGCAGAAACCACACCCUGCACCCUGCACUGCUGAGGCUGGCGCUGGAGUCCAGAAGCUUCUACACCAGAAGCUUCGGUCCCCCAUCCCUGCUCAAAAAAUUAAAACAAAAACAAUAACAAAUCGGUGUCAUGCACCCUCUGCUUCCUGGUGCUGUUCGGGACCCUGAGUCUUUCACGGGAGCACCUGAUGGGGAAAGCCUGGACCCGUGUCGGUGUCCCUCCUGCAAGGAGUGCUGGGAAAAUGAACUUUCCAGCUUCCUCCUUGCGAAGGCAGAACAUUCCCCAUGUGUACUGGUGGCAUUUAAAAACUGCAGGGCAGCCAGAGAACAUGGACUGUGUUCCACCGGGAGAGUUCCUGGCGGGAUGUCCCGGUGCAGAAGCCCGUCCCAAGGUUUAGCAAUAAAGGAGGAUGUUGCUGAUCUCAGUACAAGCAAUGUUAGAGAAAGGGGAAGAUGGAAGUGGACAAGGACGAGUGAGUGGAAGGUGACAAAUGGAAGCAAAGAAACGUAUCCAGACCAUUGAAGAUGCUUGAGCGAGAAGAAAGAGGCGGUGGAGGGAAUGGAAGCCCGAGGAAGUCAUAUGUUGCAAUAAGGGGCCUCAGAGCACGUGUAGAGUGUGGAGCAGAGCCCUUGCAGAGGGGCUGUGGAAGGCUGGCAGGGUGCAGGUGGCCCCACUCUCCGUCACCCUGAGGAGUGUGUGGUCAGAGUUAAAGCUCAGUCUGUUUCUGGGAUCAGGCUUUCACAAGCUCCAAAAGAUUCACCGUGCAGAACUGGACGUUCUAGAGAAAGACCACGCCUCCUCCUGCAGGUAACUCUUCAUUCAGGAAGCAGCUCUUGGCUUAUCCCUGGGCUUAGUGGAAUUGGAAUACCUGACCAUAGGACACCAAGGGCUUUAGGACCUGAGUGGCACAUCGUGUCCUGGUGACAUCUGAGUUACCUGGGGCGUGCACAGCAGCCUCCAGCAUCCCAGGGAGAGCUGUGUAUGGGGUCAGGCUCAAGCAGGUCCCAGGGCACCAGUGACCCAAUGGGUGAAUCAGACUCCCGUGGCACCUGCUCCUUCUGUAUCUCCCUCUGCCAUAUAUAUGAGCUCAUGGGAAGCACUGUAACCUCUUACAGAGGAGGAAAGUUCAUGGACUUCUAGCUUCUAGAACUGUGAUACAAUAAACUCCUGUUGCUUAUC
Molecule: long non-coding RNA, 1830 nt
Organism: Homo sapiens (human)
Lineage: Eukaryota; Metazoa; Chordata; Mammalia; Primates; Hominidae
Gene: PSG8-AS1
Product: PSG8 antisense RNA 1
Source: Ensembl